AACGAACGCUGGCGGCAUGCCUAACACAUGCAAGUCGAACGAGAUCUUCGGGUCUAGUGGCGCACGGGUGCGUAACGCGUGGGAAUCUGCCCUUUGGUUCGGAAUAACAGUUGGAAACGACUGCUAAUACCGGAUGAUGACGAAAGUCCAAAGAUUUAUCGACAGAGGAUGAGCCCGCGUGGGAUUAGCUAGUUGGUGUGGUAAAGGCGCAACAAGGCGACGAUCCUUAGCUGGUCUGAGAGGAUGAUCAGCCACACUGGGACUGAGACACGGCCCAGACUCCUACGGGAGGCAGCAGUGGGGAAUAUUGGACAAUGGGCGAAAGCCUGAUCCAGCAAUGCCGCGUGAGUGAUGAAGGCCUUAGGGUUGUAAAGCUCUUUUACCCGGGAUGAUAAUGACAGUACCGGGAGAAUAAGCUCCGGCUAACUCCGUGCCAGCCGCCGCGGUAA
Molecule: ribosomal RNA, 449 nt
Filed under: uncultured bacterium
Lineage: Bacteria
Description: partial 16S ribosomal RNA
Rfam family: Bacterial small subunit ribosomal RNA
Source: RNAcentral